CCUACGGGGGACAUCAGUGAGGAAUAUUGGUCAAUGGUCGGGAGACUGAACCAGCCAAGCCGCGUGAGGGAUGAAGGUACAGAGUAUCGUAAACCUCUUUUGUCAGGGAACAAAGGCGGGGACGUGUCCCCGGAUGAGUGUACCUGAAGAAAAAGCAUCGGCUAACUCCGUGCCAGCAGCCGCGGUAAUACGGAGGAUGCGAGCGUUAUCCGGAUUUAUUGGGUUUAAAGGGUGCGCAGGCGGUCUGUAAAGUCAGCGGUAAAAGCCCGGGGCCAAACCCCGGCCCGCCGUUGAAACUGGCAGUCUCGAGUUGGAGAGAAGUAUGCGGAAGGCGCGGUGUAGCGGUGAAAUGCAUAGAUAUCGCGCAGAACUCCGAUUGCGAAGGCAGCAUGCCGGCUCCACACUGACGCUGAGGCACGAAAGCGUGGGUAUCGAACAGGAUUAGAUACCCUGGUAGUC
Molecule: ribosomal RNA, 459 nt
Filed under: uncultured bacterium
Lineage: Bacteria
Description: partial 16S ribosomal RNA
Rfam family: Bacterial small subunit ribosomal RNA
Source: RNAcentral